Molecule: ribosomal RNA, 497 nt
Filed under: uncultured bacterium
Lineage: Bacteria
Description: partial 16S ribosomal RNA
Rfam family: Bacterial small subunit ribosomal RNA
Source: RNAcentral
GAUGAACGCUGGCGGCGUGCCUAAUACAUGCCAGUCGAGCGAACAGACGAGGAGCUUGCUCCUCUGACGUUAGCGGCGGACGGGUGAGUAACACGUGGAUAACCUACCUAUAAGACUGGGAUAACUUCGGGAAACCGGAGCUAAUACCGGAUAAUAUAUUGAACCGCAUGGUUCAAUAGUGAAAGACGGUUUUGCUGUCACUUAUAGAUGGAUCCGCGCCGCAUUAGCUAGUUGGUAAGGUAACGGCUUACCAAGGCGACGAUGCGUAGCCGACCUGAGAGGUGGAUCGGCCACACUGGAACUGAGACACGGUCCAGACUCCUACGGGAGGCAGCAGGAGGGAAUCUUCCGAAAGGGGCGAAAGCCUGACGGAGCAACGCCGCGUGAGUGAGGAAGGUUUUGGGAUCGUAAAACUCUGUUAUGAGGGAAGAAAAAAUGUGUAAGUAACUGUGCACUUCUUGACGGUACCUAAUCAGAAAGCCACGGCUAACUACGUG